UACGUAGGGUGCGAGCGUUGUCCGGAAUUACUGGGCGUAAAGAGCUCGUAGGUGGUUUGUCGCGUUGUUCGUGAAAACUCACAGCUUAACUGUGGGCGUGCGGGCGAUACGGGCAGACUGGAGUACUGUAGGGGAGACUGGAAUUCCUGGUGUAGCGGUGGAAUGCGCAGAUAUCAGGAGGAACACCGGUGGCGAAGGCGGGUCUCUGGGCAGUAACUGACGCUGAGGAGCGAAAGCGUGGGGAGCGAACAGGAUUAGAUACCCUGGUAGUCCACGCCGUAAACGGUGGGUACUAGGUGUGGGUUUCCUUCCUUUAGGGAUCCGUGCCGUAGCUAACGCAUUAAGUACCCCGCCUGGGGAGUACGGCCGCAAGGCUAAA
Molecule: ribosomal RNA, 379 nt
Filed under: uncultured bacterium
Lineage: Bacteria
Description: bacterial SSU rRNA
Rfam family: Bacterial small subunit ribosomal RNA
Source: RNAcentral